GGGUGGUUUAUAAUUGGAUUUUGGAGAAAGGAGACCUUGGUCGCAUCAAGUUUCAUUUGCAGAUAUUGAAAGGAGGAUUGCCUGUGUGGGUGAGCUUUCGUUUUCAAUUGCUGAGAUGAAUGGAAAUGAAAUGGAAGGGUCUUUAGCUUCUGCUGGAAUGACUAGACUUAGCAUGUUUAAGGCUUGGUGGUAGUUUUGUCUGAGAUUAUUUUGUUGUUAAAGAGUGUGGUUGCUGUUAAUUUGUUG
Molecule: long non-coding RNA, 246 nt
Filed under: Gossypium barbadense (sea-island cotton)
Lineage: Eukaryota; Viridiplantae; Streptophyta; Magnoliopsida; Malvales; Malvaceae
Description: long non-coding RNA (GBAR_LNC010934)
Source: RNAcentral